UUUUGAUUAUGGCUAGUUGAACGCUGUGGAUGCUUUACAUACAGUCGAACGGCAGCACGGACUGGUCUGUUGGCAGUACAACGAACAGGUGAUAAUGUAUCGGAACGUGCCUAGUAGCGGGGGAUAACUACGCGAAAGCGUAGCUAAUACCGCAUACGCCCUUCGAGAGAAAGCAGGACCUUCGGGCCUCGCACUGGCCGACGGCCGAUAUCAGUUGUGGUUGGUGGGGUAACGGCUCACCAAGGCGACGAUCCGUAGCUGGUUUGAGAGGACGACCAGCCACACUGGGACUGAGACACAGCAGGCUCUGGAGAGCAGCAGUGGGGAAUUUUGGACAAUGGGGGAAACCCUGGUCCAGCCAUCCCGCGUGUGCGAUGAAGGCCUUCGGGUUGUAAAACACUUUUGGCAGGGAAAGAAACGGCACGGGAUAAUACCCGUGCAACUGACGGCGCCUGCAGAAUAAGCACCGGCUAACUACGUGCCAGCAGCCGCGGUAAUACAUGCGGGUCACAAGCGUUAAUCAGAGUGGGCGUAAGCGUGCGCAGGCGGUUGGAAGAAAGAUGUGAAAUCCCACGACUUAACACGGAACUGCAUUUUUAACUACCGAGCUAGUGUGUCAGAGGGAGGUGGAAUUCCGCGUGUAGCAGUGAAAUGCUGGCAGUCUAUGCGGAGGAACACCUCCGAUGGCGAAGGCAACCUCUGGGAUAACACUGACGCUCAUGCACGAAAGCGUGGGAGCAAACAGGAUUAGAUACCCUGGUAGUCCACGCCUAAACGGUGUCAACUAGCUGUUGGAAUGACGGGCCUUGGUAGCGCAGCUAACGCGUGAAGUUGACCGCCUGGGAAGUGCAGGUCGCAAGUUAAACUCAAAGGAAUUGACGGGACCCGCACAAGCGGUGGAUGAUGUGGAUUAAUUCGAUGCAACGCGAAAAGCCUUACCUGCCCGCUUGACGUGUCUGAGAUCCCGAAGAUUUGGGAGUGCUCGCCGAGAGCCGUUUAGAUUGCUGCGCCAAGCUCGUCCAGCUCGUGUCGUGAGAUGUUGGGUUAAGUCCCGCAACAAACCUGUACUUGUCAUUAGUUGCUACGAAAAGGGCGCUCUAAUGAGACUGCCAAGUGACAAACCGGAGGAAGGUGGGGAUGACGUCGAGUCCUGUAACCCUUAUGGAAGGUAGGGCUUCACACGUCAUACAAUGGUCGGGACAGAGGGUCGCCAACCCGCGAGGGGAGCCAAUCCCAGAAGCUGAUCGUAGUCCGGAUCGCAGUCUGCAACUCGACUGCGUGAAGUCGGAAUCGCUAGUAAUCGCGGAUCAGCAUGUCGCGGUGAAUACGUUCCCGGUCUUGUACACACCGCCCGUCACACCAUGGGAGUGGGUUUUACCAGAAAUGGGUCGCUAACCGUAAGAGGCGAUUACCACGGUAAGUUCAUGACGGGUAAAGUCAUGGCACAGUGCG
This 1452-nucleotide ribosomal RNA is filed under the name uncultured Bordetella sp. RNAcentral's name for it is "partial 16S-23S ribosomal RNA intergenic spacer". It matches the Rfam family "Bacterial small subunit ribosomal RNA". The record is from RNAcentral. Lineage: Bacteria; Pseudomonadati; Pseudomonadota; Betaproteobacteria; Burkholderiales; Alcaligenaceae.